UUUUUUUUUUUUUUUUUUUUUGGUCUUUUGUCCUUUUAGGGCCUCGCCCACAGCAUAUGGACGUUCCCAGGGUAGGGGUCUAAUCAGAGCCACAGUAAUGCCAGAUCCAAGCCGCAUCUGUGACCUACACCACAGCUCACGGCAAUGUGGAUCCUUAAUCCACUGAGCAAGGCCAGGUAUAGAACCGGCAACCUCAUGGUUCCUAGUCGGAUUCGUUUCCACUGCGCCACGACAGGAACUCCAGUAGCUCUAUUUUUAAUUUUUUGAGGAACCCCUGUAUUUUCUCCCAUAGUGGCUGUAUCGAUUUACAUUCCUGCCAGUAGUGCACAGAGGUUCCCUUUUCUCCAUAUAUUUGCGAAUGCUUCUAUUUCUUGUCUUUUUGAGAAUGCCAGUCUAACAAGUGUGGAAUGAUAUUUCACUGUGAUUUUGAUUUGCAUUUCCAUGAUGAUUAAUGAUGUAGAGUAUCUUUUCAGGUGCCCAUUAGCCAUCUGUACAUAUUCUUGGUAAAAAUGUUUAUUAAAUUCCCCUGCCCAUUUUUAAUCAGAUUCUUUGGUUUUAUGCUAUUGAGUUGUAUGAGUUCUUUAUAUAUUUUGAAUAUUAACCCUUUAUGAUAUAUAUGAUCUGCAAAUAUUUUCUCCCAUUCAGUAGAUUUUCCUUUCAGUUAGUUGAAAGUUUCAUUUGCUGUGUGUAUAUUUUAUGAAUAGUGUCUGAUAUGCAGUGAGCACUUUGUAAGCUAUAAUUGUGAUUAUUCCAAAAACUGGAGGAAAAUAUAAGGAGGGAAUGUGGUAAUGCAAUAUAGGCCCAAGAGGUAGAAAGAGAUGGGAUAAAAGACACCUCUUCUUUUGUUUUAAUCAUAAACCAUUUAGUAAUAUUUGAUUUUAAACUUUUAUACAUUUUACUUGAGCAAAAUAAAAUUAAUUGACAUGAAUUUAACUGGCAGUUAAAGAUUAGAAGGAAAACUAUGAGAACAGGGCUAUGCUAUGAUGAAUGUAAUGAUUUGAAUGAAAAUUGGAACAAAGAAAUUAAUCAAUCCAUUAAAAGCAGGGACGUGAAAAAAAAUCAACACAGACUUCCCCAACAAAGAAAGAAAUUUGAAUAAGCCUCAAGUAGGGGAAAAAGUAAAAAUGCAAGUGAAUGACAUUAGAAAUUAGAAAAUGGUUUGAACUACAGAUAAAGAGAGCUUUACACCAAAAAAUUGAAUGCAUAAUGUUCUGAGGAAGAUAAAAGAGGCAAAUCAUCUCAGAAGAAGGUAGGAAACAAGAGCUGACCCACUAGAGAGGAGAGGAGAAGCUGAAAGGGCAAAGAUAACCCUGUAAACAAAGCAGCAGUUUUACAAGAAUGUAGCACUCCAUGGGUUUGACACAGAUAAUUUGUGUCAUUAUUUAAACCAUUUCAGACCAAACUUUGUAUCCUAACUCAUCUCAUAAGGCCAGGCAAACCCACAUACUUACAUUGAAUGAGAAAAGCCCACACAAUCCCAAAGUCUCUCACUUAUGAGACACAUGUGGAAAAGAAUGUAAAUAAUUCCAUACAUGGGCAAGUAACACCCAGGCCUUUCAUUCCAAGUUGGUCCUUUCCUAUGAAACUGUUCCUUUGAGCAACGAGACUGUCACCAAAACAAGGUCAGCCUGACUACAGCCACCCACACAUGUAGCUUCAGGGCCUCCCCAGUGUUCCCUGCUCCGUGGUCUGGGAUGUAAAAGAUGUAAGGCCUUCUCAUGAAGUCCACAGUGAAGUUUGACCUGUGUUAAGAAGCACGACACACAACAGCCUUUAUCUGGCGUUCAGAUCUAUUUUGCUGCUAUGACUACCUAAGUUCUCUUUCUUUACUUCUCCUUUUGCCAUUUUCCUCAAAUGGCACUUACAGUGAUGUAUGAUGGCAAGAAUCACAUCCUUGGAAAGGCAUAUUUAUACCCUAGUGAAUACAUAGGUAAAAUAUGUGCAUUUCUAUGUCUAUGGAGGUGGAGAAUAAAGAGUAAACAAGUCCCCCCACUUAGUCAACAAAACUUUGUCAAGCGUUCCAAAAGUUUUAAAAAAAAUAAUGAACUAAAGCAAAAGGAAGCAAAAUGUCUUGAUGUUUUGCUCCCUUGAACUAUCACCAUGAAAAUCUUCAGAGAAUUUCAUGUCAUUUUUCUCUUUUGUUCUUGUCAAAUUCUGUGAUCCCUUGUUUACAAUAUUUUUAACCUCUUUUCACACGUACAAAUUUUUUCUUUCCAAUUUAAAUACUUGUAAGUAAAAGGACUACUCUCUUCUGUGGACCCAAAACAGUUCUGGAAAGAAGAGAGAACUGUUGGGAGAGGGUGUCUUGAGUACACUCAGCCCUAAAGAAAGCUUCGUAAUUUUUGUUUGUCUCUUUUUUCUUUUUAGGUUUUUUAAAUUUUUUUAAAUAAAAUAUGGUUGAUUUAUAAUGUUCUCUCAAUUUCUGAUGUACAGCAAAGUGACCCAGUGAUACAUAUACAUAUUCUUUUUCUCAUACUAUCUUCCAUCAUGUUCUAUCACAAGAGAUUGGAUAUAGUUCCCUGUGCUGUACAAUAAGACCUCAUUGCUAAUCCAUCCUAAAUGUAAUGGUUUAUAUCUACUAACCCCAAACUCCCAGUCCAUCCCACUCCCUACACCCUUCCCCUUGGCAACCACAGGUCUAUUCUCUAUGUCCGUGAGUCUGUCUCUAUUCUGUAGAUAGGUUCAUCUGUGCCACAUUUUAGAUUCCACAUGUAAGUGAUAUCUUAUGGUAUUUAUCUUUGACUUACUUCACUUAGUUUGAGAAUCUCUAGUUGCAUCCAUUUUGCUGCAAAUAGCAUUAUUUCAUUAUUUUCAUGGCUGAGUAGUAUUCCAUUGUGUAUACAUAUCACAACUUCUUAAUCCAUUCAUAUGUCAAUGAACAUUUAGGUUGUUUCCAUGUCUUGGCUAUUCAAGUAGAAAUAGAAAGGCUUGUAACAUUGAUGCACAAGGGAAGAAUUGGUUCAGUCCUUAUAAAAGUCAGCAUAUUGUUCUAAGAAAAUCAAUGCUGUAUUAAAAGUUAUAACAAGUUAUUACCAAGCAAAGUUUAUUCCAAUAGUAAUAAGACCUAAUUUAAUAACUCCAUUUAUAUAAUCCUAUAUAUGUUAAAAAAAUAAAAAUAAAUUUCAUGUAAUCAUCUCAAUGGCUGCCAGAAAUUAUACUUCAUUACCUAGCUAAAAAGAAAAUCAACAUAGCAAACUAGAAGAUACUUAUUAAUAGCUCUAUUGGAAUCCAACAGCAAGUAUCAUGUUUUCAGUGUUGAAACAUUAAAGCAUUUAUAUUAAAAUUAUAGGAAAUACAUGAGUUCCCAUCAUGGCACAGCGGAAAUGAAUCCGACUAGGAACCAUGAGGUUGCAGGUUCAAUCCCUGGCCUCACUGAGUGGGUUAAGGAUCUAGCGUUGCCGUCACCGUCGCUGUGAGCUGUGGUGUAGGUCGCAGACGCAGCUCAGAUCUGAUGUUGCUGUGGCUCUGGCAUAGGCCAGCAGCUAUAGCUCCAAUUGGACCCCUAGCCUAGAAACCUCCAUAUGCCGCUGGUGCCACCCUAAAAGGACAAAAGAUUUUUAAAAAUUAAAGGAAAUACAAAUGUGUUUCUGUCUCUUUUUCUUUUUUUUCCACUGUACAGCAUGGGAACCCAGUUACACACACAUGUAUACAUAAUUUUUUCUCCCAUUGUCGUAAGUACAGCGUUGUAAGUAUCUAGACAUAGUUCUCAGUGCUGCACAGCAGGAUCUCAUUGUUAAUCCAUUCCAAAAGCAAUAGUUUGUAUCCUACCCCAAGCUCCCAAUCCCUCCCCCCUCCCUUCCCCUCCCCCCAAGUCCAUGAUUUUCUUUUCUGUGGAAAGGUUCAUUUGUGCUCUAUAUUAGAUAUCAGAUAUGUGUGAUAUCAUCUGGUAUUUGUCUUUCUCUUUCUGGCAUACUUCACUCAGUAUGAGAGUCUCUAGUUCCAUCCAUGUUGCUGCAAAUAGCAUUAUUUUGUUAUUUUUAUGGCUAAGUAGUAUUCCAUUGUGUAUACAUACCACAUCUUCCUAAUCCAGUCAUCUGUUGGUGGACAUUUAGGUUGUUUCCAUGUCUUGGCUAUUGCAAAUAGAGCUGCAAGGAACAUGUGGGUGCAUCUGUCUUUUUUAAGGAAAGUUUUGUCUGGAUAUAUGCCCAAGAGUGGGAUCACUGGGUCAUGUGGUAGUUCUAUGUAUAGAUUUCUAAGGUACCUCCAUACUGUUCUCCAGAGUGGUUGUACCAGCUUACAUUCCCACCAACUGUGCAGGAGAGUUCCCUUUUCUCCACAGCCCCUCCAGCACUUGUUAUUUGUGGACUUAUUAAUGAUGGCCAUUCUGGCUGGUAUGAGGUAAUAUCUCAUGGUAGUUUUGAUUUGCAUUUCUCAGUGAUUUUUUUCAUGUGCUUGUUGGCAAUCUGUAUAUCUUCCUUGGAGAAAUGUCUAUUCAGGUCUUUUGCCCAUUUUUCUAUUACUAUUUAAUAUUUGCUGUCCAGUCCAAUAAGAAAAGUAAAGAAAUAAGUAAAUAAGUGGCACAUAUUGGGGGGGAAAAAGCAUAUAGCUAUGAUUAUUUCUGAGUUCCCAAACCCCAGCUGGUAAGCCCUCUCAUAUUUCUGAGUAAUAUGAACAAUGAAGUCUAAACAUAUUACUAGAAAAACUUUACAAGAAAUUAAGAAAAUUCUCUAAUGCGUAGUAUGAAAGUACAAAAAAACUACACCAUCUCUACAUACCAAUAAUGACUAAUUAGAAAAUUAAUGAGGGAAAUACUUUAAUAAUAAAGAUAAUAAAAAACAUUACAUAUUUAUAAAUAAGCCAGUUUGAGAACUCUAUAAAUCAUAUAGAGACAAACUACAAAAUUAGAUUGGACAGUAAGAGAUAUAUAAUGUGGAAGGACGCAAUGCCCAUGGAAGACUCAGCAAUGUAAAGACAGUAUCAACUUAAAACACACACACACAAGGUAAAAGCUGUGAGUCAAGUUUAUUCAGUAUCUUACUGAGGACUAUAGCCUUGGAGCCAGGCUCUCAGAGAGCUAUGUGAAACUGUUCUGAAGAGGUAAGGGAAGGAGUAAGCCAGUGUGUAUGGGAUUUGGGGGAAGGAGUACAUGCAACCAAGCAUUACAUCUUAGUAGAAGUUUGCCAGUAGUCACAAGGGACAGAAAUCCUCUUGGUGUCAGUGCCUUUCUAAGUGUGCGUAGGUACAAGAAUCUAGAAUUCAUAAAAAAUUCUUCCCAAAAUAUCUAUCUGAUGUCCUAUUCUACCAGUUUUCCCAGAAAAUUAUACGACAUUCCUGAUUUCCACUCUCAGUUCCUUUCAGGGUGUGUUGAAGGUCAGUGGCAGCAAUGCUAGUAAGUUAUUCUUUGUAGAACCAGAGAGCUAGUAACAUCCUUCAGUUGUCAAUAACAAUGUUAAUUCCCCAAAUUGAUAGCAAUUAAAUUGAAUCCCAUUAGGUUACGGCUUUGACAA
This 5447-nucleotide long non-coding RNA is filed under the name Sus scrofa (pig). Its description in RNAcentral is "lncRNA (ENSSSCG00065070746.1)". Lineage: Eukaryota; Metazoa; Chordata; Mammalia; Artiodactyla; Suidae. The record is from RNAcentral.